Molecule: ribosomal RNA, 298 nt
Filed under: uncultured bacterium
Lineage: Bacteria
Description: partial 16S ribosomal RNA
Rfam family: Bacterial small subunit ribosomal RNA
Source: RNAcentral
CCUACGGGGGGCAGCAGUGGGGAAUAUUGCACAAUGGGGGAAACCCUGAUGCAGCGACGCCGCGUGAGUGAAGAAGUAUCUCGCUACGUAAAGCUCUAUCAGCAGGGAAGAAAAAAAGUCUUUGGCUUUGGACGGUACCUGACUAAGAAGCCCCGGCUAACUACGUGCCAGCAGCCGCGGUAAUACGUAGGGGGCAAGCGUUAUCCGGAUUUACUGGGUGUAAAGGGAGCGUAGACGGCGAAGAAAGUCUGAAGUGAAAGCCCGCGGCUCAACCGCGGAACUGCUUUGGAACCUUUUU